GUAUUGGUGGUUCAGUGGCAGAAUGCUUGCUUUUGAUGUGGGAGGCCUGGAUCUGAUUCCCAGUCAAUGCA
Molecule: transfer RNA, 71 nt
Filed under: Loxodonta africana (African savanna elephant)
Lineage: Eukaryota; Metazoa; Chordata; Mammalia; Proboscidea; Elephantidae
Rfam family: tRNA
About the family: Transfer RNA (tRNA) molecules are approximately 80 nucleotides in length. Their secondary structure includes four short double-helical elements and three loops (D, anti-codon, and T loops).
Source: Rfam by way of RNAcentral